CCUACGGGUUGCAGCAGUGGGGAAUAUUGCACAAUGGGCGCAAGCCUGAUGCAGCCAUGCCGCGUGUAUGAAGAAGGCCUUCGGGUUGUAAAGCACUUUCAGUAGGGAGGAAGGUAGUGUAGUUAACACCUGCACUAUUUGACGUUACCUACAGAAGAAGCACCGGCUAACUCCGUGCCAGCAGCCGCGGUAAUACGGAGGGUGCGAGCGUUAAUCGGAAUUACUGGGCGUAAAGCGCAUGCAGGCGGCCUGUUAAGUCAGAUGUGAAAGCCCGGGGCUUAACCUCGGAAUUGCAUUUGAAACUGGCAGGCUAGAGUCUUGUAGAGGGGGGUAGAAUUCCAGGUGUAGCGGUGAAAUGCGUAGAGAUCUGGAGGAAUACCGGUGGCGAAGGCGGCCCCCUGGACGAAGACUGACGCUCAGGUGCGAAAGCGUGGGGAGCAAACAGGAUUAGAUACCCGCGUAGUC
This 465-nucleotide ribosomal RNA is filed under the name uncultured bacterium. Its description in RNAcentral is "bacterial SSU rRNA". It matches the Rfam family "Bacterial small subunit ribosomal RNA", at positions 338 to 795 of the family's 1533-position model. The record is from RNAcentral.